This 544-nucleotide ribosomal RNA is filed under the name Sungouiella intermedia. RNAcentral describes it as "eukaryotic LSU rRNA". It matches the Rfam family "Eukaryotic large subunit ribosomal RNA", at positions 48 to 658 of the family's 3401-position model. The record is from RNAcentral. Lineage: Eukaryota; Fungi; Ascomycota; Pichiomycetes; Serinales; Metschnikowiaceae.
AAGCGGAGGAAAAGAAACCAACAGGGAUUGCCUCAGUAACGGCGAGUGAAGCGGCAAAAGCUCAAAUUUGAAAUCCUUCGGGAGUUGUAAUUUGUAGGUUGGGAGACCCCGCGGCUAGUGGCACCAAGUCCCUUGGAACAGGGCGCCUUAGAGGGUGAGAGCCCCGUAGGUACCACAACACCGUCUUGUGUCUCCUCUCCAAAGAGUCGAGUUGUUUGGGAAUGCAGCUCAAAGUGGGUGGUAAAUUCCAUCUAAAGCUAAAUACCGGCGAGAGACCGAUAGCGAACAAGUACAGUGAUGGAAAGAUGAAAAGCACUUUGAAAAGAGAGUGAAACAGUACGUGAAAUUGUUGAAAGGGAAGGGCUUGCAAGCAGACACGGCCUUCGUGCCGGGCCAGCAUCGGUUGCUAGGGGUGGAUAAGGAACAAGGAAUGUAGCUCCUCGGAGUAUUAUAGCCUUGCGCGAUACACCCACUGGCGACCGAGGCCUGCGGUAUUCUUUUACCUAGGAUGCUGGCGUAAUGGUUGCAAGCCGCCCGUCUUGAA